Molecule: ribosomal RNA, 274 nt
Filed under: uncultured bacterium
Lineage: Bacteria
Description: partial 16S ribosomal RNA
Rfam family: Bacterial small subunit ribosomal RNA
Source: RNAcentral
AGACGAAGGUGGCAAGCGUUAUUCGGAAUCACUGGGCAUAAAGGGCGCGUAGGCGGCCCGGCAAGUUUCGUGUGAAAUCCCUCGGCUCAACCGAGGAACUGCACGAGAAACUGCCGAGCUAGAGUGUUGGAGGGGUGUGUGGAAUUCCUGGUGGAGCGGUGAAAUGCGUAGAUAUCAGGAGGAACGCCGGCGGCGAAAGCGAUACACUGGACAACAACUGACGCUGAGGCGCGAAAGCUAGGGGAGCGAACGGGAUUAGAAACCCCAGUAGUCC